CGCGCGACUCGGGUUCCUGCAGGCUCCUGUCUUGAGCCCCGCGCGUGGAGCGGCAAAGUGGUUUUGCGCCUCGGAGGGGGAGGUGCACUUAGGACUAUGUUGUCGGGACAUUUUUGGUCUCUUACCAAGUAGACUGUAAGCAGCUCAAGUACAAGCAACAUGUACUUUAAGCCUCCAAACAGUUGAGGACAGGUAUUGACACAAGGCAUCCCUGCUGUGGCACAACAGGAUUGUCAAUAUCUCUGCAGCAUCAUGAUGCAGGUUUGAUCCCCAGCUCUGCACAGUGGGUUAAAGGAUGGGGAAUUCCAUAUGGCAUGGGGCGGCCAAAACCCAAAAAUAAAUAAGUAAAUAUUCUUCUCAAUAUCAUUAGUGAUGGUUCUAUGGUGUUCUUUAUAUGGAUGUACUAUCUUUAAUUAAUCGCUAACCUUUUGAGUAUUUAGGGUGCUUCCAUAUUCUCCCUAUAAAUAAUGCUCUGACACAUUCUUGUAACACAAUCUUUGUGUACCCUUUUUUUCCCAUCAUUAUAAUUACUACCUUCAAUUCAGAAUGCUCAAUUUUCCCCAGUGACCUUUUUUUUUCUGAGGAAAAAAAGCAGUCUCUGGCCAUGAGUGUAGGUUUCAGAUCUAUAGACCUCUGAGUACUCCAAACAAGGGAUGGGAAAUUUUGUUUGUUUUUUGAAGAUAUAAGUUCCUGUUUUGCAGCAGGAAAAGUAAAGCAAACCCAAGGGCUUAGUUUGCAUUGAUAUUAUUUAGAGCACAUAAUAAUUACCAGCCAUCUCCUUGCAGGGAUUAGAGAGUUGAUCUUACCACCACUCCCACCACACCUCCACUAUGCAAAAACACACAUGGUAUAUGUUGUGGAAGUGUGUUAUAUCCACCUGGAUA
Molecule: non-coding RNA, 884 nt
Organism: Sus scrofa (pig)
Lineage: Eukaryota; Metazoa; Chordata; Mammalia; Artiodactyla; Suidae
Source: RefSeq, a predicted model, not a curated record